ACCCUUCAUAAGAAUAUUUUGGUCGCUAACGGAGUAGUUUUGGUUUUGUGAUGUUUUGUGCGAAGAAGAAUUCCUGUAUGAAGGAAGGCACUGGUUUCCAACAAAGAAACAGAUCCCCAUCGCUGGAAUUUGGUUAACAACAACGAUUUUUGGAUCGUCCCCAAGGUUACUUUAGUGUCUUUUGCUGUCGUGAAUCAUGAGACACAGAUAAUGUAUUUCUGUAAGAGAUAUUUGACAGUGGAUUUAAGGUCGAAAUAAACCGAAACACAGUGGGAUGAAAGACAAAAUUUACCCCCCGCCGGGCAGCUUCAACUCAAAAAGGCGGUGAGCUGGACAAAGUGCUUAGUGGUAUUUCGCCCGUUGCUACGUUCGGGGUUCAAAUUCUACCGAUGUCGAUUUUGCCUUUCAUCCUUUCGGAGUCAAUAAAUUAAAUACCAAUGAAACACUGGGGACGAUGUAAUCGACUGGUCGCCUCCCAUCAAAUUUCGUCUGUCUCUACAUUCUGAGUUCACAUUCCGCCGAGGACAUCUUUGCCUUUCAUCCUUGCGGGGUUGACAAGUACCAUUUGAGUACUGGGUGUCGACCUUUCCCACAAAAUUCCAGGCUUUGGGACUCUACGAGACGGAAUUAUCAUUAUUAUUCUUCACUGACCGCGUAUUUCAACGAUAAUUUCUUUAAACCUCAAUUCCAUAAAAUCCGGCAUAUGCAAUUAUAAAGUUAGACAACCAAAUACCCUUGGAACACCCAAUGCUGAGCUCCAAAUAAUUGGAAUGGUGAAACGUACCCAGACUUUGUGGACAGCCUGUAUAAUUUCACAACUGUGAUACCCAUGUCAGUGGCAUGUAAAAAGCACCAUCUGAACAUGGCCGAUUCCAGUGCUGCCUAUAAAACCAACUGAUGGCCAUUGCUAGCCUCCUCUGGCCCCUGUGCCGGUGGCACGUAAAAAGCACCCACUACACUCACAGAAUGGUUGGCGUUAAGAAGGGAAACACUGCCAGAUCAGACUGGAGCCUGGUGCAGCCUCCUGGCUUCACAGACCCUGGUUGCAUGCUAGCAUGGAAAAACGGACGUUAAACGAUCAAUAAGAUGUCCCUGAAUGACCUGCUGGACACCAUGGAGUGUGUCUAUCUAGACAUGAUCAGUAUUGAUAGGUGGUCAUGACUGAAGAAGCAGCAUUAAAAACACCUUUCACUAGAAGGACUCAAUACUGACGUGACCACCCAGUACUAUCACUGGUCAGGCCUUCCGCAAGUAUGCCAUGCAAAUAACUUAAGGAAAGAAAUAUUCUUAAAAAUA
This is a long non-coding RNA of Octopus bimaculoides (California two-spot octopus), 1296 nucleotides long. RefSeq lists it as uncharacterized. Lineage: Eukaryota; Metazoa; Mollusca; Cephalopoda; Octopoda; Octopodidae. The record is from RefSeq and is a predicted model, not a curated record.